This 389-nucleotide long non-coding RNA is filed under the name Mytilus galloprovincialis (Mediterranean mussel). The record is from RNAcentral. Lineage: Eukaryota; Metazoa; Mollusca; Bivalvia; Mytilida; Mytilidae.
UCAACGAAUAUUUACAUCGAAUAAUAAUCAUCAGUGGUAAUUUUUACCGUGUAUCCUAUUAUCACGUUCAUAUUUUAUUUGGUUUAAGAUUGCUAUUACAGAGAUAAGACAAAGUGUACUAGUUAAAGAGCAUUUGAACAGUUGUUUCUUGCUCAGCAUGGUCUGAUUUAGUCUUGAUGGAUUGUCGUAGCUGUGCUUGAAAGCGAUACAUUUUGAUAACUAAGAACCAUAUUUCAUGUGGUGUGGGAUAAUACAAAUAUGCAUAAAUAUAGGAAUCUGAUGUUCAGUAGUUGUUGAUGUGGUUUAUAGGUAUUUUUCGUUUGUCUUUUUUUUUAAAAGAUUAAACCGUUGGUUUUUCUGUUUGAAUGCAUUUAUACUUGUAAUUUUUG